This is a long non-coding RNA of Rhinolophus ferrumequinum (greater horseshoe bat), 350 nucleotides long. RefSeq lists it as uncharacterized. Lineage: Eukaryota; Metazoa; Chordata; Mammalia; Chiroptera; Rhinolophidae. The record is from RefSeq and is a predicted model, not a curated record. The transcript is spliced from 3 exons.
CAGAAAUGCGUGGAGCACACACCCACUUCCAGAUCCUGCAGUGGGGGAGGCAGAGCGGCAAAGAAAGAAGAGGCAACAGAAGACAUUUCUGGUUGGAUAACCCAACACCAAUCCUAACUCUCUUCUCCCAUGCCAGUUUCCACUAUAGAGAUGCUCAUCGGAAAAACCAGGAGGUUUGUGUUUCUACUACCUGCUCAGCAGUCACCUCAGGCUGAUGCAGGGCGUCUCAUGGUACUCUGCUCUCCGGCUUCUGUGUUCAUAUUUGGAUUUCCUCUUACUUGUUUACCCAGCUCGAGUGUCAAUCCUACAGUCCUUAACUCCCUCAGCCUCUAGGAUGGAGCCUUGCACAC